Molecule: transfer RNA, 71 nt
Organism: Beta vulgaris subsp. vulgaris (sugar beet)
Lineage: Eukaryota; Viridiplantae; Streptophyta; Magnoliopsida; Caryophyllales; Amaranthaceae
Rfam family: tRNA
About the family: Transfer RNA (tRNA) molecules are approximately 80 nucleotides in length. Their secondary structure includes four short double-helical elements and three loops (D, anti-codon, and T loops). Further hydrogen bonds mediate the characteristic L-shaped molecular structure. tRNAs have two regions of fundamental functional importance: the anti-codon, which is responsible for specific mRNA codon recognition, and the 3' end, to which the tRNAs corresponding amino acid is attached (by aminoacyl-tRNA synthetases). tRNAs cope with the degeneracy of the genetic code in two manners: having more than one tRNA (with a specific anti-codon) for a particular amino acid; and 'wobble' base-pairing, i.e. permitting non-standard base-pairing at the 3rd anti-codon position.
Source: Rfam
GUGGAUAUAGUCGAAUGGUAAAAUUUCUCUUUGCCAAGGAGAAGACGCAGGUUCGAUUCCCGCUAUUCACU